Molecule: ribosomal RNA, 253 nt
Filed under: uncultured bacterium
Lineage: Bacteria
Description: partial 16S ribosomal RNA
Rfam family: Bacterial small subunit ribosomal RNA
Source: RNAcentral
UACGUAGGGCGCAAGCGUUGUCCGGAAUUAUUGGGCGUAAAGAGCUCGUAGGCGGCCUGUCGCGUCUGCUGUGAAAUCCCGGGGCUCAACCCCGGGCCUGCAGUGGAUACGGGCUGGCUGGAGGCAGGCAGGGGAGAACGGAAUUCCUGGUGUAGCGGUGAAAUGCGCAGAUAUCAGGAGGAACACCGGUGGCGAAGGCGGUUCUCUGGGCCUGUACUGACGCUGAGGAGCGAAAGCGUGGGGAGCGAACAGG